GUGAAUCAUCAAAUCUUUGAACGCAUAUUGCACUCUCUGGUAUUCCGGAGAGUAUGCCUGUUUGAGGGUAAUUAAAAAGAAUCUUGAACCAAUUUUUUUUGGUCAAAUUAAAUGAGUUCUCCGCGUUUAUAGCGGUAGCUUGAAAUAAAUGGUCAAUUCUCAUUUUAUUCUGGUCGCGUAAUAAUAUUAGUUCUCGAAAUCUUCAUUAUGAGACUAUCAAGUUUUGAUGCAUACAAAUUUGGGUUGUAUGCGAUCAAUGCAAAGAUUUUGAACAUUACCUCAAAUC
This 286-nucleotide unclassified non-coding RNA is filed under the name Ambisporaceae sp. RNAcentral describes it as "partial contains 5.8S ribosomal RNA and internal transcribed spacer 2". The stretch from base 1 to 71 matches the Rfam family "5.8S ribosomal RNA", at positions 84 to 154 of the family's 154-position model. Lineage: Eukaryota; Fungi; Glomeromycota; Glomeromycetes; Archaeosporales; Ambisporaceae. The record is from RNAcentral.